GCUGGGCGUGGUGGUGAGCGCCUGUAAUCCCAGCUACUUGGGAGGCUAAGGCAGGAGAAUCGCUUGAACCUGGGAGGCCCAGGUUGCAGUGAGCCAAGAUCAUGCCAUUGCACUCCAGCCUAGGCAACAAAGUGAGACUCUGUCUCAA
This 148-nucleotide non-coding RNA is filed under the name Pan paniscus (pygmy chimpanzee). The record is from Rfam by way of RNAcentral. RNAcentral also lists the same sequence under 1 other name. Lineage: Eukaryota; Metazoa; Chordata; Mammalia; Primates; Hominidae.